Molecule: ribosomal RNA, 506 nt
Filed under: uncultured bacterium
Lineage: Bacteria
Description: bacterial SSU rRNA
Rfam family: Bacterial small subunit ribosomal RNA
Source: RNAcentral
CUACGUGCCAGCAGCCGCGGUAAUACGGAAGGUCCAGGCGUUAUCCGGAUUUAUUGGGUUUAAAGGGAGCGUAGGCGGAUUGUUAAGUCAGCGGUUAAAGGGUGUGGCUCAACCAUGCAUUGCCGUUGAAACUGGCGAUCUUGAGUGCAGACAGGGAUGCCGGAAUUCGUGGUGUAGCGGUGAAAUGCUUAGAUAUCACGAGGAACUCCGAUCGCGAAGGCAGGUGUCCGGGCUGCAACUGACGCUGAGGCUCGAAAGUGUGGGUAUCAAACAGGAUUAGAUACCCUGGUAGUCCACACAGUAAACGAUGUAUACUCGCGGUUUGCGAUAGACAGUAAGCCGCCAAGCGAAAGCAUUAAGUAUACCACCUGGGGAGUACGCCGGCAACGGUGAAACUCAAAGGAAUUGACGGGGGCCCGCACAAGCGGAGGAACAUGUGGUUUAAUUCGAUGAUACGCGAGGAACCUUACCCGGGCUUGAACUAACGGUGACGAAUCUAGAGAUAG